This is a microRNA precursor of Chlorocebus sabaeus (green monkey), 57 nucleotides long. NCBI's taxonomy places the organism in Eukaryota, Metazoa, Chordata, Mammalia, Primates, Cercopithecidae. The record is from Ensembl.
GCUGAGACAGGCAGGAUUGGGGAAACAUCUUUUACCUCCUCUCUUACCUGUUUUAGA